UUUGAUUUACCUAGUGAGUUUAGACUAAACUAGUGAAUAUAGGUAAAAAAAGAGUUUAUUGAUAUUGAAUUUGAUAAAUAUAAAUAUCAAUGUAAUGAAUUUAUCAAGGCCGAACCUCACCACCGAAAUUCGCUUGAUUGAUACAUGUAUUUAGCAAUUCAACAUAGAUCCAAGAUAUUUCAUCGAAUCGCUGAUGAAAAGAUUCUAUUUGUCCC
This 215-nucleotide long non-coding RNA is filed under the name Ricinus communis (castor bean). Its description in RNAcentral is "long non-coding RNA (RCOM_LNC002786)". Lineage: Eukaryota; Viridiplantae; Streptophyta; Magnoliopsida; Malpighiales; Euphorbiaceae. The record is from RNAcentral.